This 365-nucleotide unclassified non-coding RNA is filed under the name uncultured fungus. RNAcentral describes it as "partial contains 5.8S ribosomal RNA and internal transcribed spacer 2". The stretch from base 1 to 133 matches the Rfam family "5.8S ribosomal RNA", at positions 22 to 154 of the family's 154-position model. Lineage: Eukaryota; Fungi. The record is from RNAcentral.
UGGCUCUCGCAUCGAUGAAGAACGCAGCGAAAUGCGAUAAGUAAUGUGAAUUGCAGAAUUCAGUGAAUCAUCGAAUCUUUGAACGCACCUUGCGCCCCUUGGCAUUCCGGGGGGCACGCCUGUUUGAGUGUCGUGAACUCCUCCACUCCUCACCUUUUUCGAAGGGUUGUUGAGCUGGGAUUUGGGAGCUUGCGGGUCCCUGGCCGAUCCGCUCUCCUUGAAUGCAUUAGCGAAGCCCUUUGCGGCCUUGGUGUGAUAGUCAUCUACGCCUCGGCUUAGCGAACCUAACGGGAGUCGCUUCCAACCGUCUCGUAAGGGACAACACAUACCAACUUGACCUCAAAUCAGGCGGGACUACCCGCUGA